Molecule: small nucleolar RNA, 100 nt
Organism: Octodon degus (degu)
Lineage: Eukaryota; Metazoa; Chordata; Mammalia; Rodentia; Octodontidae
Product: small nucleolar RNA U13
Exons: 1
Source: RefSeq, a predicted model, not a curated record
AGCACGGUUCAUGAGCAUGCUGAUUGGGUGUUCAUGCCUUAUGCAUGAGGUGUGCUUCCCUCGAACCUUGUUAUGACGUGGGCACAUUACCCGUCUGACA